CCACAAUGCGCCGAAGCACCAUAACAGCAAAGCCAGGACAAGGCCGAUGACUAUGGCUUGAACAGGCAGCAUUAGGGGCGUCUACAGGAGGGAAGUGAUAUGAUCAUAAUCAACUAACUAUUAAUAGAGGAACACCCUUCGAUCCUUCAUGUUGGCUUUACACUCCUCCAGUUCGGUCACAAGUGACAGCUUCUCCUGCUCCGUCUUCUCAUAGUCGUCCUUCAGGGCCUCCUUGGAACGAUCAGCUUCAUCCAGUUGGCUUUGUAGCUUGCUGCUAUCCUGUUGGUGCUGAAGCUCCAAAGCUGCCAGCUUCUUUUCCAGCUCCUGCUGAGAUCUCUCCAGAACUUUCAGGUUGAACUCGACGGCGCCGACGUCAUGGUCCCGCUCGGCGGAAGCUGCCUCCAGGAGGCGUUUCAGCGACUUCACCUCGUCACGUGAACUUUCGAGCUCGUCACGUAAACUGGAGGAGACGUCUGUCUGCUCUCUGAGGAUGUCCAUUUCAUCUUGGAGCCGCCGCAGUUGCCCUGUUUAAAGUCAGCUCAUUAUUUCCAACAGCGGUGCCUGAUCCUGGGCCUUCCCAAGUUCAUCAUUCAAGCGCUGGAUUGUUUUUUCAUAGUCGCUUGAGGAGCUCAUAUUUGAGCGGACGCUGUGGAAUGUCGAGGCUGAACAUUUGUCGCGGCCAUAACCAGGAGAAGACCAUGGCGUUGGGUGUCAUCA
Molecule: long non-coding RNA, 717 nt
Organism: Syngnathus acus (greater pipefish)
Lineage: Eukaryota; Metazoa; Chordata; Actinopteri; Syngnathiformes; Syngnathidae
Exons: 6
Source: RefSeq, a predicted model, not a curated record